Molecule: unclassified non-coding RNA, 303 nt
Filed under: plant metagenome
Description: partial contains 5.8S ribosomal RNA, internal transcribed spacer 2, and large subunit ribosomal RNA
Rfam family: 5.8S ribosomal RNA (bases 1-103)
Source: RNAcentral
AAACUGCGAUAAGUAGCGUGAAUUGCAGACGCUUUGAACGUUAAACUUUCGAACGCACAUUGCGCCCGCCAGUAUUCUGGCGGGCAUGCCUGUUCGAGCGUCAUUUCAACCAUCAAGCCCCCGGCUUGUGUUGGGGACCUGCGGCUGCCCGCAGGCCCUGAAAAACAGUGGCGGGCUCGCUGUCACACCGAGCGUAGUAGCAUACAUUCUCGCUCAGGGCGUGCUGCGGGUUCCGGCCGUUAAACGACCUUCAUAACCCAAGGUUGACCUCGGAUCAGGUAGGAAGACCCGCUGAACUUAAGC